CUUGACCUGGCCUAUUUGUGUAUGUGUCCUACUCUGUCGAUGAGCCGCCAUAGACACACGUACAGUGGAUGUAACGGUAAUAUAAGAAGGCAACAUUACACAAUCGUCUUGGAUCCCUAUUCCUAAUUUAGCAAAUUUUCAAAAUGGCGGCUCACUCAAUUCGUCGCGCCACUCACGACGACUUCGAUGAGUUGAUGCAGAUUGGUGAUGUGUACCAGGGGAUGGACUAUCUCGGGCAUCGCUACCACACAUACAUCGACGACCCAAACAACAGAUCAUACGUCUACGUGAUCGGAGAUGAAAAUAUUGCCCUUUGCUCAGCAUUCAUCAUCGAUGAUGGGCAGACCUUCAUGAUCAGAGGAGCCCGGACGAAGGAAGGUUUCCGAGGACAAGGGAUCUACGGCAAACUCAAUAAAUACGUCUACGUCAGUAUGGGGAUAUACCGUCCAUCAAAUAUGACGUGAUGACGACCGGCAAUCACAACUACGACGCUAAUAAAGAUCACCUGUUAAGAAAACACACAGAAUUAAAUAGAAAGAGCCUGGUUCAUGGUCGAUUCAAGAUGUCAGACACACAUGUUCGUGAGCUAGAAGGACCAUAUCCGGUCUUGCAGGAAAUGACGUCAAGUGAUCUACUGGACCUCUUUGUUCUGAAGAAUCACGCAAAAGUCUUUUUCCAGUGAAAAAAAUUGUGAUAGAUUGGACACCACUCCGCUUCCUCCCCAGCAAUAUGAAGUACAUCUUGGAACCGGAAGCACUGUGUCUGAGGUCAAAAGGCAAUAAAGGCGAAACAACAUUACUCACGUUUGGCACGCCUAGCAACUGCGAACUGGGCCUCCGGUACGGCAUGGAUAUAUUUGGAGAUGACUUCGCAGAUUUUCCGUAUCACGUGAAACGGCAUAUGAGUCACGUGGUCACCCUGGCGCAAGGUCACGUGUUCCUGCAGAUGGUUAUAGAGGAGAGGUUCAGGGAAAACGCCGUCAAUGUUCUCCCACUUUUAAACCUCCCACCUUUCGAGCUUUCAUGGACAACCCAGAUUAACUUUGAAACUACAUUUAAAGUUGUAAAAUGAUGAACCUGCUCUGACUGAUGAUGUUUUUGCAAACACCUGCUUUUAUCACUAUUUGAUAGUGAUUCAUAACCACAUGCUUAUGCUUUGUGCAAUGGGCUCUGCUUUUAGAAGAGAUUCCGUAUGCUUUGGGAAAACUUUGUAUCAGUGCAUUAUAUUGUAUGAAUAUUUUUUUUUUCAGUAAGUGGGCCAUGGAGAAUACUACAGUUAUUCUUGUUAAAUACUAUUUUUACGAAACGAGUGGACUUUCUAUGAUAUCUGACCGAGCUGCAUUAUCUUUUA
Haliotis rufescens (red abalone) is the source of this 1350-nucleotide long non-coding RNA. RefSeq lists it as uncharacterized. The transcript is spliced from 4 exons. The record is from RefSeq and is a predicted model, not a curated record. Lineage: Eukaryota; Metazoa; Mollusca; Gastropoda; Lepetellida; Haliotidae.